Molecule: ribosomal RNA, 253 nt
Filed under: uncultured bacterium
Lineage: Bacteria
Description: partial 16S ribosomal RNA
Rfam family: Bacterial small subunit ribosomal RNA
Source: RNAcentral
UACGUAGGUGGCAAGCGUUGUCCGGAUUUACUGGGCGUAAAGGGCGUGCAGGCGGUUUGUUAAGUCUAGGGUGAAAGCUCCCGGCUCAACUGGGAGAGGUCCUUGGAUACUGGCGAACUUGAGGGAUGCAGAGGAAAGUGGAAUUCCCGGUGUAGUGGUGAUAUGCGUAGAUAUCGGGAGGAACACCAGUGGCGAAGGCGACUUCCUGGCCUGUUCUUGACGCUGAGGCGCGAAAGCUAGGGUAGCAAACGGG